GCCAGCAGCUAGCUCUCUGCAGCUCUCACAUGGUAGCCCACUGAAGCUAAGUAGGGCUGCGCCUGGUCAGUACAUGGAUAGGAGACCACAUGGGAAAGCUAGGUUGCUGCCGGAA
RNAcentral lists this ribosomal RNA (115 nucleotides) under Danio rerio (zebrafish). Lineage: Eukaryota; Metazoa; Chordata; Actinopteri; Cypriniformes; Danionidae. The record is from RNAcentral.